CCUACGGGAGGCAGCAGUGAGGAAUAUUGGUCAAUGGGGGGAACCCUGAUGCAGCGACGCCGCGUGUGGGAAGACGGUCCUCUGGAUUGUAAACCACUGUCCCCAGGGACGAAAAUGACGGUACCUGGGGAGGAAGCUCCGGCUAACUACGUGCCAGCAGCCGCGGUAAUACGUAGGGAGCGAGCGUUGUCCGGAAUUACUGGGUGUAAAGGGAGCGUAGGCGGGGAUGCAAGUUGGGUGUCAAAACUACCGGCUCAACUGGUAGUCGCACUCAAAACUGCAGCUCUUGAGUGAAGUAGAGGCAGGAGGAAUGCCUAGUGUAGCGGUGAAAUGCGUAGAUAUUAGGAGGAACACCAGUGGCGAAGGCGGCCUGCUGGGCUUUUACUGACGCUGAGGCUCGAAAGUGUGGGGAGCAAACAGGAUUAGAUACCCUUGUAGUC
This 440-nucleotide ribosomal RNA is filed under the name uncultured bacterium. RNAcentral describes it as "partial 16S ribosomal RNA". It matches the Rfam family "Bacterial small subunit ribosomal RNA", at positions 338 to 795 of the family's 1533-position model. The record is from RNAcentral.